Molecule: transfer RNA, 74 nt
Organism: Brevundimonas subvibrioides ATCC 15264
Lineage: Bacteria; Pseudomonadati; Pseudomonadota; Alphaproteobacteria; Caulobacterales; Caulobacteraceae
Rfam family: tRNA
About the family: Transfer RNA (tRNA) molecules are approximately 80 nucleotides in length. Their secondary structure includes four short double-helical elements and three loops (D, anti-codon, and T loops).
Source: Rfam
GCGUCCUUAGCUCAGUUGGUUAGAGCAUCUGACUUUUAAUCAGAGGGUCCUCGGUUCGAGCCCGAGAGGACGUA